UACGUAGGUGGCAAGCGUUAUCCGGAAUUAUUGGGCGUAAAGCGCGCGCAGGCGGUUUCUUAAGUCUGAUGUGAAAGCCCACGGCUCAACCGUGGAGGGUCAUUGGAAACUGGGGAACUUGAGUGCAGAAGAGAAAAGCGGAAUUCCACGUGUAGCGGUGAAAUGCGUAGAGAUGUGGAGGAACAUCAGUGGCGAAGGCGGCUUUUUGGUCUGUAACUGACGCUGAGGCGCGAAAGCGUGGGGAGCAAACAGG
This 253-nucleotide ribosomal RNA is filed under the name uncultured bacterium. Its description in RNAcentral is "partial 16S ribosomal RNA". It matches the Rfam family "Bacterial small subunit ribosomal RNA", at positions 524 to 776 of the family's 1533-position model. The record is from RNAcentral.